UCGUGCAUGUGUGUGAGAGAGAGAUACCCAGAUAAGUAGAGACGACGACAGUACGUGCGUGUCUGCAUGCAAGCCACCUGCGUCGUCGUCGCCGCCGCCUCCCUCCCUCCCUCCUUCCCUUCCGUGCUUUUAUCAGUCGAACACACGCAGACACCUCUAUAUUCACAUCAAAACGCCCUGGGGUUCAAAGGGCAAGAAGGCUGCCCGACGAGUUGCACGUGCGAUACACCCCCUCACCCACGCAAGAGCGUACACCUCUUCCCUUCCCCUGCCCCGUGUUGAAGGUGAACCAUGUCGAGCGAUUUGAAUCAGCAACUGGAGGCGAUGUACGAGGGGAAGCUGCUCACGGAGGAGCAGGUGGUACAGCUGUGUAGUCGUUGCAAGGACCUCAUGUUGGAGGAGGGCAACAUAGAGACCAUCUACGCCCCCGUCACGCUCUGCGGUGACAUUCAUGGCCAGUUCUACGACUUGUUGGAGCUCUUCAGCAAGGGCGGGCGAGUGCCGGAGACGUCGUAUGUUUUCAUGGGCGACUACGUCGACCGUGGCUACCACAGUGUGGAGACGCUGCUCCUGCUGCUGCUGCUGAAGGCGCGCUACCCCGAUCGCAUAACACUGUUGCGUGGUAAUCACGAGUCGCGCCAGAUCACGCAGGUGUAUGGCUUCUACGACGAGUGCUACCGCAAGUACGGCUGCGCGAACGUGUGGCGGCUGUGCACGGAGCUGUUUGACUACAUGCCACUCGGCGCAGUAGUGGAGGAGGACAUCUUCUGUGUGCACGGCGGCCUCAGUCCGCAGAUUGGCACGCUCGAUGAAGUGCGUGUGCUGGACCGCAAGCAGGAGGUACCACACGAGGGCCCCAUGAGCGACUUGCUUUGGUCAGACCCAGAGGACAUAGAGGGGUGGAGCGUAAGCCAGCGCGGCGCGGGUUUUGUCUUUGGUGGCGAUGUCGCCAAGAACUUCAAUCACCGAAACGGUCUCAGUCUCAUUGCACGUGCGCACCAGCUGGUGCUGGAGGGGUACAAGUCGAUGUUUGAUAGCAACUGCUGCACGGUGUGGUCAGCCCCAAACUACUGCUACCGGUGUGGUAAUGUCGCCUCUAUCCUCGAGGUGGGCGAGCACUCCAAGACGGAUCGAAACGUCGUGUAUUUCACCGCAGCCACCGCUGAUGUGCGCGGCCAUCUCGCGAAGCAGCCCCCACCCGAGUACUUCCUGUGAUUGGGCACGAAAGACGAUGGGGUGUUAGUCAAGGUGCUUGAGAGGUCGCUGGCGUCGGGCGAACGCGCUGGCGUGCGUGUCUGUAUAACGUGUGUGGUAACUUGUCCGUUUGUUCACCACUUGGUAGUGGUGGUGCGAGCCUCCGCGAUGCUGUCGCAUGCCCUCUCUUUGCCUUGCGUGCGUCCGGCUCUCUCUCCUUCCCUGUUACUGAUCCACAUUCCCCAUCCUUCCCCCCUCCGUUCGUUCCACCGCCGCCGCGGCAGCCGCGGCGGCGCGUCCUGUGAAGGUGCGCAUACGACGACCUCGUAGUGCGUACUUGCCAGCGUCGGGUUCGCUCGGGUCUCCAACUGGGGCGGUACACGCUUGCAAAGGGAAAGAGAAGGCGCGUGCUUCACUGAUGAGGCCGUCUCCGCCAUGCCUACGCCUGAGUAUGCGUGCGCGCUCGAGUGCACGCGCGCUCCACUUCUCUCUUGCCCAAUUUUUGGCGCUGUGUAUUGCAGCGCCUGUGGACGGGCGCUGCAGGGCUGUAUCCGUACACUUCUCUGAAGCCCCGCUUUCUCUCUGUUCUCGCCCUGUACUCGCCGUCGCACAC
Molecule: unclassified non-coding RNA, 1807 nt
Filed under: Leishmania donovani
Lineage: Eukaryota; Euglenozoa; Kinetoplastea; Trypanosomatida; Trypanosomatidae
Description: gene:LdHU3.28.3860(CDS-product:protein_phosphatas e_4_catalytic_subunit_putative)
Source: RNAcentral